GCUACAGCUGCAAGUAUUCCACCUAUUCGUUUCAGCUUCUAUCCAGUAAUGAGAUCAUUCACUUUGAACUACUACAGGUAACGGAAGCUAGCAGUUCAGUUGCCAUGGAGUCCCAAGGCUGUAGGAGGGGCCUCAACCAUCUAAUUUUCAAUGAAGGAGUAGAUAUAGACCUCAUCACUACAGACCGGGCCACAUCAGUUCGGAAAAUAAUGAGGGAGGAAUUCCAGAAUGUUCACCAUGAAUUUGAUCCUUGGCAUGAAUCAAACGGCAUAAAGAAAAAACUGGUAGCACUCGCCAACAAAAAGGAAAAUCGGGUCCUGCAGGGCUGGAUUCGGGCGAUCCUCAAUCACUUUUGGUUCUCAUGCUCAUCUUGUGGCGAGAGUGCUGAGGAACUGAAGUGA
This 401-nucleotide long non-coding RNA is filed under the name Gadus morhua (Atlantic cod). RNAcentral describes it as "lncRNA (ENSGMOG00000033835.1)". The record is from RNAcentral. Lineage: Eukaryota; Metazoa; Chordata; Actinopteri; Gadiformes; Gadidae.